GACGAACGCUGGCGGCGUGCUUAACACAUGCCAGUCGAGCGGAAAGGCCCUGCUUUUGUGGGGUGCUCGAGUGGCGAACGGGUGAGUAACACGUGAGUAACCUGCCCUUGACUUUGGGAUAACUUCAGGAAACUGGGGCUAAUACCGGAUAGGAGCUCCUGCUGCAUGGUGGGGGUUGGAAAGUUUCGGCGGUUGGGGAUGGACUCGCGGCUUAUCAGCUUGUUGGUGGGGUAGUGGCUUACCAAGGCUUUGACGGGUAGCCGGCCUGAGAGGGUGACCGGCCACAUGGGGACUGAGAUACGGCCCAGACUCCUACGGGAGGCAGCAGUGGGGAAUAUUGCACAAUGGGCGGAAGCCUGAUGCAGCAACGCCGCGUGCGGGAUGACGGCCUUCGGGUUGUAAACCGCUUUCGCCUGUGACGAAGCGUGAGUGACGGUAAUGGGUAAAGAAGCACCGGCUAACUACGUG
Molecule: ribosomal RNA, 468 nt
Filed under: uncultured bacterium
Lineage: Bacteria
Description: partial 16S ribosomal RNA
Rfam family: Bacterial small subunit ribosomal RNA
Source: RNAcentral